CUUGGAGAUGUAAAGGGAGAGAAGCUCACCAGGGAAAAUUUGGAGGAGGAAGUGAACCUCACAAUCUCUAGCAUGCAGAUACUGAAAGACUUCAUGGGGGAGAGGAAUGACAUGUAUAAGGAGCUACAGGCAAGACAGACAGCAUUGGAGACCAGAUUCUGUUCCCAGAAACCUGUCCUGCUGCUUCUCAUGCCCCAGCAGCUUCAGUAAUACAUGUUUCCUGGAAAAACAUUUCACCGCCAGCAUGCUGCCUGCCUCAGACAACUUGGGGCCAAGCAGGAAAUUUACAGGUGAGCUCUCAGUAUAAUGCCUGUAGGUUCCAUACU
This 326-nucleotide long non-coding RNA is filed under the name Fukomys damarensis (Damara mole-rat). RNAcentral's name for it is "lncRNA (ENSFDAG00000030263.1)". Lineage: Eukaryota; Metazoa; Chordata; Mammalia; Rodentia; Bathyergidae. The record is from RNAcentral.